GAUGAACGCUGGCGGCGUGCCUAAUACAUGCAAGUCGAGCGAACAGACGAGGAGCUUGCUCCUCUGACGUUAGCGGCGGACGGGUGAGUAACACGUGGAUAACCUACCUAAGACUGGGAUAACUUCGGGAAACCGGAGCUAAUACCGGAUAAUAUAUUGAACCGCAUGGUUCAAUAGUGAAAGACGGUUUUGCUGUCACUUAUAGAUGGAUCCGCGCCGCAUUAGCUAGUUGGUAAGGUAACGGCUUACCAAGGCAACGAUGCGUAGCCGACCUGAGAGGGUGAUCGGCCACACUGGAACUGAGACACGGUCCAGACUCCUACGGGAGGCAGCAGUAGGGAAUCUUCCGCAAUGGGCGAAAGCUUGACGGAGCAACGCCGCGUGAGUGAUGAAGGUCUUCGGAUCGUAAAACUCUGUUAUUAGGGAAGAACAAAUGUGUAAGUAACUAUGCACGUCUUGACGGUACCUAAUCAGAAAGCCACGGCUAACUACGUG
Molecule: ribosomal RNA, 495 nt
Filed under: uncultured bacterium
Lineage: Bacteria
Description: partial 16S ribosomal RNA
Rfam family: Bacterial small subunit ribosomal RNA
Source: RNAcentral